UACCAGGAAGGAGAAAGCAUAUGAGCAUCUUUCUGGGAACCAAGUAAUAAAGCUUUUUGGAGAUGCCUUUUUCUAGAUUCUGCCACUGACCACCUAGAACAGGGUCUGGCCUAGGGCUCAUGAUAGCCUGACCAGAUGUAACCUGUCCCUUGACUCUAUAGAGAGAACAUCAGAUCCUGAAAUGGCUUUACUGUCUUAUUGUUGGCAAUAGAAUGAUCCCACUAAACCAUGGAUACAAACCUCCCUGGUGCUGGUAAUAUCAGCAAAGCCAACAACUGUGUCUGUUUCCACAAGAAGCAACAACUAACCUCUGAAGAUAGAUUCUUUAGAGAUAAGGCCUUCCCGCUGGUCUUCAGAAAGAAGGGGUCAGUUACUCUUAACUUCUGUAGCUGGAGUUUGAUCUCAUUGGAGUUGUGUGGGUGCUUGGGUGAAGAUCCUGGGAUGGGGUGAGCAGAGAUUCUCAGGAAUAGUGCUGCACCAUAAUCUCAGCCAGCAACAAGUUCCUUCUCCACCUAUCACAUGAAUCAAUGCAGGUCAGGGGCUGGCCUAGACUGGAGGUAUUCCUUCUAGGAUAGCCAACCCUCCUCCCAUAUCCACCUGUCAGGGCCCAACUCUGGACAAUUUUCUUCGGAUACUCUGGAUGUCAGAUGGGUUUCCUCAGAAGACCUAGGUCCCAUGGAAUGAAUCCUUCCUGACUGAAGGUGCUUGGAGGAUAAGAUCUCGUCCAGGUCAUCCCACUCCCUCCAUCUUAGAGCAGCCUGGGCAGCAGUCCUAAGAGGCAAGUGUUUGCCUUUUCAUCCAUUUCACACCUAAUGCCUUUUGAUGAACCAAGUCUGCUUUUACUUCACGGUCCCUGCUUGUCCCUUGACUUCAGAGUUCCUGCAGCCCUGAGCCAUAUCAGAACCUUCCUGGAGCCUCCACCUUUAGAACCUGCCUUAGCCUGGAAGAUGCCUGCAUUUACUACAGGUUCUGUGGGUAAUGUUUCUCCACUGGUGUGUUGGGAGCCUGGAUCCCAGGAUGUACUCAUAGUGGUCUCUCUGGUCAGUGGUUGUCACCGCUAAGGCACCUUUACCUUUCCUGUCAUUCAAGAAACCCUUGGCAUUCUCUUCACAUCAGGACAAGAGCACAAAAACAUAAUAUAUAUUUUGAAAGUGGGAGAAAAAGAGAGAGCCUCCUCUACUUCUUUCUUCCCCAACAUAUCUUCCACAGCUUCUAGUCUAAUCCCAGUGGAGUGUCAUAGUCCUUGGUCUGGCUCUGCCCACUUCAGGUUCUGCAGAAUUUCCAAGUUCAGCCCCUUGAAGAUUGUGGCCCCUGCUCUCUACUAGUAUAGAGAAGGAAGACUGGGGUAUGGUAAUGCAUGCCUAUAAUCCCAGCAAUCUGGGAGACUGAGACAGAAGGAUUGCAAGUUUGAACACAGGCUGGGAAAAUCAGUGGCUUAGCAAGACACAGUCUCAAAAUAAAUAACAAAAAAAGCCAGGGAUGUAGCUCAGAGCAAAGGCAAGGAAAUGCCUGGAGCUCUGGGGCUGGCUGUUGUAUAUGUGAUCUUGGAUAGGCUUUUUUCCUUCUCUGGAAUCUGUUUCCUUGGUGGUGAAAUGGCCCGAGUGAUACUCACAGGGUUAUUUGGAAAAUUUAAUGCGAUAGUAUAUGAGUACAGAGCUGAAUUGAAAAUCUAAGAGGUGAGUUACUCUAGGAUAGGGGGAGUAGAAUAACCUGGACCAGGUCUAUUGUGUGGGGAGGGGGAAGGAGGUGAAGGGG
This 1755-nucleotide long non-coding RNA is filed under the name Heterocephalus glaber (naked mole-rat). Its description in RNAcentral is "lncRNA (ENSHGLG00100048783.1)". Lineage: Eukaryota; Metazoa; Chordata; Mammalia; Rodentia; Bathyergidae. The record is from RNAcentral.